RNAcentral lists this transfer RNA (75 nucleotides) under Cordylochernes scorpioides. Its description in RNAcentral is "tRNA-Thr". It matches the Rfam family "tRNA". From Rfam's summary of the family: Transfer RNA (tRNA) molecules are approximately 80 nucleotides in length. Their secondary structure includes four short double-helical elements and three loops (D, anti-codon, and T loops). Lineage: Eukaryota; Metazoa; Arthropoda; Arachnida; Pseudoscorpiones; Chernetidae. The record is from RNAcentral.
GUCCAGGGUAGCCUAGUGGUCAUGGCAUCUGCUCGGUAAGCGGAAGGUCGUGGAUUCGAUUCCCAUCCCUUGACA